This 158-nucleotide small nuclear RNA is filed under the name Eptatretus burgeri (inshore hagfish). Its description in RNAcentral is "U1 spliceosomal RNA (ENSEBUG00000000272.1)". The stretch from base 1 to 138 matches the Rfam family "U1 spliceosomal RNA". Rfam says of the family: U1 is a small nuclear RNA (snRNA) component of the spliceosome (involved in pre-mRNA splicing). Its 5' end forms complementary base pairs with the 5' splice junction, thus defining the 5' donor site of an intron. There are significant differences in sequence and secondary structure between metazoan and yeast U1 snRNAs, the latter being much longer (568 nucleotides as compared to 164 nucleotides in human). Lineage: Eukaryota; Metazoa; Chordata; Myxini; Myxiniformes; Myxinidae. The record is from RNAcentral.
AAGGUUACCUGACGGGAGAUAAACAGGUGAUCAUAAAGGUGGUGUUCUCAGGACGAGGACUACCCAUUGCACCCCGGGUGAGUUGACACUUGUAAUUUCACCAAAUGUGGGAAACUCGACUGCACAAUUUUCGGUAACAAACCCACAGCCAUCUUUGA